Molecule: ribosomal RNA, 481 nt
Filed under: uncultured bacterium
Lineage: Bacteria
Description: partial 16S ribosomal RNA
Rfam family: Bacterial small subunit ribosomal RNA
Source: RNAcentral
GAUGAACGCUGGCGGCGUGCCUAACACAUGCAAGUCGAACGGAGAUUACGGACGGAAGUUUUCGGAUGGAAGACUGUAAUUCUUAGUGGCGGACGGGUGAGUAACGCGUGGGCAACCUGCCCUAUACAGGGGGAUAGCAGCUGGAAACGGCUGGUAAGACCGCAUAAGUCGGUUAAAUCGCAUGAUUUGAUCGGGAAAUGAGCAAUCAGGUAUAGGAUGGGCCCGCGUCCGAUUAGCCAGUUGGCAGGGUAAAAGCCUACCAAAGCGACGAUCGGUAGCCGGACUGAGAGGUCGGACGGCCACCUUGGGACCGAGACACCGCCCAAACUCCUACGGGAGGCAGCAGUGGGGGAUAUUGCACAAUGGAGGAAACUCUGAUGCAGCGACGCCGCGUGAGUGAAGAAGUAUUUCGGUAUGUAAAGCUCUAUCAGCAGGGAAGAUGAUGACGGUACCUGACUAAGAAGCCCCGGCUAACUACCUG